This 495-nucleotide ribosomal RNA is filed under the name uncultured bacterium. RNAcentral describes it as "partial 16S ribosomal RNA". It matches the Rfam family "Bacterial small subunit ribosomal RNA", at positions 28 to 507 of the family's 1533-position model. The record is from RNAcentral.
GACGAACGCUGGCGGCGUGCCUAAUACAUGCAAGUAGAACGCAGAAGGAGGAGCUUGCUCUUCUGGAUGAGUUGCGAACGGGUGAGUAACGCGUAGGUAACCUGCCUGGUAGCGGGGGAUAACUAUUGGAAACGAUAGCUAAUACCGCAUAACAGUAGAUGUUGCAUGACAUUUACUUAAAAGGUGCAAUUGCAUCACUACCAGAUGGACCUGCGUUGUAUUAGCUAGUUGGUGGGGUAACGGCUCACCAAGGCGACGAUACAUAGCCGAACUGAGAGGGUGAUCGGCCACACUGGGACUGAGACACGGCCCAGACUCCUACGGAAGGCAGCAGUAGGGAAUCUUCGGCGAUGGACGGAAGUCUGACCGAGCAACGCCGCGUGAGUGAAGAAGGUUUUCGGGUCGUAAAGCUCUGUUGUAAGAGAAGAACGAGUGUGAGAGUGGAAAGUUCACACUGUGACGGUAUCUUACCAGAAAGGGACGGCUAACUACGUG